UUUAGCGGCCGCGAAUUCGCCCUUAGAGUUUGAUCAUGGCUCAGGAUGAACGCUGGCGGCGUGCCUAAUACAUGCAAGUCGAACGAAGAUGUUCUUGUGUUCGCAUGAGAGCUCUUAGUGGCGGACGGGUGAGUAACGCGUUGGUGACCUGCCCUAAAGAAGGGAACAACCUCGGGAAACUGAGGCUAAUACCCUAUGUGCUUCAAGAGAUUAGAUCCUUUUGAAGUAAAGGUUCUGUGGACGAAAGGCCACGGCAUCGCUUUAGGAGGGGCCUGCGUCCCAUCAGCUAGUUGGUAGGGUAAUGGCCUACCAAGGCGAUGACGGGUAGGGGACCUGAGAGGGUGACCCCCCACACUAGCACUGAAACACGGGCUAGACACCUACGGGUGGCAGCAGUAGGGAAUCUUGCACAAUAGACGAAAGUCUGAUGCAGCAACGCCGCGUGUGCGAUGAAGGCCUUCGGGUUGUAAAGCACUUUUCUGAGGGAUGAGAAAGGACAGUACCUCAGGAAUAAGUCUCGGCUAACUACGUGCCAGCAGCCGCGGUAAUACGUAGGAGGCGAGCGUUAUCCGGAUUUAUUGGGCGUAAAGCGCGUGCAGGUGGUUUGGUAAGUUGGGUAUGAAAUCUCCUGGCUUAACUAGGAGAGGUUGCUCAAAACUACCAGACUAGAGGACGGUAGAGGAAGGUGGAAUUCCCGGUGUAGUAGUGAAAUGCGUAGAUAUCGGGAGGAACACCAGUGGCGAAGGCGGCCUUCUGGGCCGUUCCUGACACUAAGACGCGAAAGCAUGGGUAGCAAACGGGAUUAGAAACCCCGGUAGUCCAUGCCGUAAACGAUGUGGACUUGAUGUCGGCGAUGUAAAAGUUGUCGGUGUCGUAGUUAACGCGAUAAGUCCACCGCCUGGGGAGUACGAUCGCAAGGUUAAAACUCAAAGGAAUUGACGGGGACCCGCACAAGCAGCGGAGCGUGUGGUUUAAUUCGAUGCUACACGAAGAACCUUACCUGGGCUUGACAUAUAGGUGGUAGGGAUCCGAAAGGUGACCGACCCCUCGGGGAGCUUAUACAGGUGCUGCAUGGCUGUCGUCAGCUCGUGCCGUGAGGUGUCCGGUUAAGUCCGGUAACGAGCGCAACCCUUGCCGUAUGUUACAUGUGUCAUGCGGGACUGCCGGUACAAAACCGGAGGAAGGUGGGGACGACGUCAAGUCAGCAUGGCCUUUAUGUCCAGGGCUACACACACGCUACAAUGGUCGGCACAAUGGGUAGCAAAGUCGCGAGGCGAAGCCAAUCCUCAAAACCGAUCUCAGUUCGGAUUGCAGUCUGCAACUCGACUGCAUGAAGCCGGAGUUGCUAGUAAACGCGCGUCAGCAAUAGUGCGUCGAAUACGUUCCCGGGUCUUGUACACACCGCCCGUCACGUCAUGGAAGCUGGUAAUACUUGAAGCUGGUAUCUAAACCCUCACGGGAUGGAGCCAGCGAGGGUAGGACCGGUAACUGGGACGAAGUCGUAACAAGGUAAAGGGCGAAUUCGUUUAAACCUGCAGGACUAGUCCC
This 1548-nucleotide ribosomal RNA is filed under the name uncultured bacterium. Its description in RNAcentral is "partial 16S ribosomal RNA". It matches the Rfam family "Bacterial small subunit ribosomal RNA". The record is from RNAcentral.